Molecule: ribosomal RNA, 242 nt
Filed under: uncultured bacterium
Lineage: Bacteria
Description: partial 16S ribosomal RNA
Rfam family: Bacterial small subunit ribosomal RNA
Source: RNAcentral
CGACCGGCGCACGGGUGAGUAACGCGUAUCCAACCUGCCUUACACUCUUGGACAGCCUUCUGAAAGGGAGAUUAACACAAGAUGUUAUCAUGAGUAAGCAUUUUCACAUGAUUAAAGGUUUACCGGUGUAAGAUGGGGAUGCGUUCCAUUAGAUAGUAGGCGGGGUAACGGCCCACCUAGUCUUCGAUGGAUAGGGGUUCUGAGAGGAAGGUCCCCCACAUUGGAACUGAGACACGGUCCAA